GAUGAACGCUAGCUACAGGCUUAACACAUGCAAGUCGAGGGGUAGCAGGGUAGCAAUACCGCUGACGACCGGCGCACGGGUGAGUAACACGUAUCCAACCUACCGUUUACUCGGGGAUAGCCUUUCGAAAGAAAGAUUAAUACCCGAUAGUAUAAAGAGUUCGCAUGUUCUCUUUAUUAAAGGAUUCCGGUAAAUGAUGGGGAUGCGUUCUAGUAGAUUGUUGGCGGGGUAACGGCCCACCAAGUCUUCGAUGGAUAGGGGUUCUGAGAGGAAGGUCCCCCACAUUGGAACUGAGACACGGUCCAAACUCCUACGGGAGGCAGCAGUGAGGAAUAUUGGUCAAUGGGCGUUAGCUUGAACCAGCCAAGUAGCGUGAAGGAUGACUGCCCUAUGGGUUGUAAACUUCUUUUAUAAGGGAAUAAAACGGGGAACGUGUUCCCCUUUGCAUGUACCUUACGAAUAAGGAUCGGCUAACUCCGUACCAGCAACCGCGGUAA
This 497-nucleotide ribosomal RNA is filed under the name uncultured bacterium. RNAcentral describes it as "partial 16S ribosomal RNA". It matches the Rfam family "Bacterial small subunit ribosomal RNA", at positions 28 to 523 of the family's 1533-position model. The record is from RNAcentral.